RNAcentral lists this ribosomal RNA (440 nucleotides) under uncultured bacterium. RNAcentral describes it as "partial 16S ribosomal RNA". It matches the Rfam family "Bacterial small subunit ribosomal RNA", at positions 338 to 795 of the family's 1533-position model. The record is from RNAcentral.
CCUACGGGGUGCAGCAGUGGGGAAUAUUGCACAAUGGGGGAAACCCUGAUGCAGCGACGCCGCGUGAGUGAAGAAGUAAUUCGUUACGUAAAGCUCUAUCAGCAGGAAAGAAAAUGACGGUACCUGACUAAGAAGCCCCGGCUAACUACGUGCCAGCAGCCGCGGUAAUACGUAGGGGGCAAGCGUUCUCCGGAUUUGCGGGGUGUAAAGGGCGCGUAGACGGCAGCGCAAGUCUGGAGUGAAAUGCCUGGGCUCAACCCCGGAACUGCUCUGGAAACUGUGCAGCGGGAGUGCAGGAGAGGGAAGCGGAAUUCCUGGUGUAGCGGUGAAAUGCGUAGAUAUCAGGAGGAACACCAGCGGCGAAGGCGGCUUACUGGACUGUAACUGACGUUGAGGCUCGAAGGCGUGGGGAGCAAACAGGAUUAGAUACCCUAGUAGUC